UAGAGUUUGAUCAUGGCUCAGGAUAAACGCUGGCGGCGUGCAUGAGACAUGCAAGUCGAACGGACGACUCGGGCUUGCUCGAGUCGUUAGUGGCGAACGGCUGAGUAACGCGUGGGUGACCUGCCCCGAAGUGGGGAAUAACUGCCCGAAAGGGUGGCUAAUACCGCAUGUGGUGGUUCGUUCGGUCGGACCACCAAAGCCGCAAGGCGCUUCGGGAGGGGCCUGCGUCCGAUUAGCUCGUUGGUGAGGUAACGGCUCACCAAGGCGACGAUCGGUAGGUGGUCUGAGAGGACGAUCACCCAGACUGGGACUGAGACACGGCCCAGACUCCUACGGGAGGCAGCAGUCGGGAAUUUUGCGCAAUGGACGAAAGUCUGACGCAGCAACGCCGCGUGAGGGAUGAAGGCCUUCGGGUUGUAAACCUCUUUUUCCAGGGAAGAUAAUGACGGUACCUGGCGAAUAAGUCACGGCUAACUACGUGCCAGCAGCCGCGGUAAU
This 498-nucleotide ribosomal RNA is filed under the name uncultured bacterium. RNAcentral's name for it is "bacterial SSU rRNA". It matches the Rfam family "Bacterial small subunit ribosomal RNA", at positions 1 to 524 of the family's 1533-position model. The record is from RNAcentral.